This 292-nucleotide ribosomal RNA is filed under the name uncultured bacterium. RNAcentral describes it as "partial 16S ribosomal RNA". It matches the Rfam family "Archaeal small subunit ribosomal RNA", at positions 455 to 747 of the family's 1478-position model. The record is from RNAcentral.
GUGCCAGCAGCCGCGGUAAUACCAGCACCCCGAGUGGUUGGGACGAUUAUUGGGCCUAAAGCAUCCGUAGCCGGUUCUGCAAGUCCUCCGUUAAAUCCACCUGCUCAACAGAUGGGCUGCGGGGGAUACCGCAGAGCUAGGAGGCGGGAGAGGCAAACGGUACUCAGUGGGUAGGGGUAAAAUCCAUUGAUCCACUGAAGACCACCAGUGGCGAAGGCGGUUUGCCAGAACGCGCUCGACGGUGAGGGAUGAAAGCUGGGGGAGCAAACCGGAUUAGAAACCCUCGUAGUCC